RNAcentral lists this ribosomal RNA (800 nucleotides) under uncultured Flavobacteriia bacterium. RNAcentral describes it as "bacterial SSU rRNA". It matches the Rfam family "Bacterial small subunit ribosomal RNA", at positions 28 to 884 of the family's 1533-position model. The record is from RNAcentral. Lineage: Bacteria; Pseudomonadati; Bacteroidota; Flavobacteriia.
AACGAACGCUGGCGGCAGGCUUAACACAUGCAAGUCGAACGAUAUAGUGGCAGACGGGUGAGUAACGCGUGGAAACGUGCCUUUCACUACGGAAUAGCUUUUGGAAACGAAAGGUAAUACCGUAUACGCCCUCCGGGGGAAAGAUUUAUCGGUGAAAGAUCGGUCCGCGUUAGAUUAGCUAGUUGGUGAGGUAACGGCUCACCAAGGCUACGAUCUAUAGCUGGUCUGAGAGGAUGAUCAGCCACACUGGAACUGAGACACGGUCCAGACUCCUACGGGAGGCAGCAGUGGGGAAUAUUGCACAAUGGGCGCAAGCCUGAUGCAGCCAUGCCGCGUGAAUGAUGAAGGCCUUAGGGUUGUAAAAUUCUUUCGCCAAGGAUGAUAAUGACAGUACUUGGUAAAGGAGCCCCGGCUAACUUCGUGCCAGCAGCCGCGGUAAUACGAAGGGGGCUAGCGUUGUUCGGAAUUACUGGGCGUAAAGCGCACGUAGGCGGACUUUUAAGUCAGAUGUGAAAUCCCGAGGCUCAACCUCGGAACUGCAUUUGAAACUGGGAGUCUAGAGAUCAGGAGAGGUUAGUGGAAUACCGAGUGUAGAGGUGAAAUUCGUAGAUAUUCGGUGGAACACCAGUGGCGAAGGCGACUAACUGGACUGAUACUGACGCUGAGGUGCGAAAGUGUGGGGAGCAAACAGGAUUAGAUACCCUGGUAGUCCACACCGUAAACGAUGAGUGCUAGUUGUCUGCAGGCAUGCCUGUAGGUGACGCAGCUAACGCAUUAAGCACUCCGCCUGGGGGAGUACG